RNAcentral lists this ribosomal RNA (468 nucleotides) under uncultured bacterium. RNAcentral's name for it is "partial 16S ribosomal RNA". It matches the Rfam family "Bacterial small subunit ribosomal RNA", at positions 28 to 507 of the family's 1533-position model. The record is from RNAcentral.
GACGAACGCUGGCGGCGUGCUUAACACAUGCAAGUCGAACGGAAAGGCCCUGCUUUUGUGGGGUGCUCGAGUGGCGAACGGGUGAGUAACACGUGAGUAACCUGCCCUUGACUUUGGGAGAACUUCAGGAAACUGGGGCUAAUACCGGAUAGGAGCUCCUGCUGCAUGGGGGGGGUUGGAAAGUGUCGGCGGUGGGGGAUGGACUCGCGGCUUAUCAGCUUGUUGGUGGGGUAGGGGCUUACCAAGGAUUUGACGGGUAGGCGGCCGGAGAGGGUGACCGGCCACAAUGGUACUGAGAUACGGCCCAGACGCCUACGGGAGGCAGCAGUGGGGAAUAUUGCACAAUGGGCGGAAGCCUGAUGCAGGAACGCCGCGUGCGGGAUGACGGCCUUCGGGGUGUAAACCGCUUUCGCCUGUGACGAAGCGUGAGUGACGGUAAUGGGUAAAGAAGCACCGGCUAACUACGUG